GACGAACGCUGGCGGCGUGCUUAACACAUGCAAGUCGAACGGAAAGGCCCUGCUUUUGUGGGGUGCUCGAGUGGCGAACGGGUGAGUAACACGUGAGUAACCUGCCCUUGACUUUGGGAUAACUUCAGGAAACUGUGGCUAAUACCGGAUAGGAUCUCCUGCUGCAUGGUGGGGGUUGGAAAGUUUCGGCGGUUGGGGAUGGACUCGCGGCUUAUCAGCUUGUUGGUGGGGUAGUGGCUUACCAAGGCUUUGACGGGUAGCCGGCCUGAGAGGGUGACCGGCCACAUUGGGACUGAGAUACGGCCCAGACUCCUACGGGAGGCAGCAGUGGGGAAUAUUGCCCAAUGGGCGGAAGCCUGAUGCAGCAACGCCGCGUGCGGGAUGACGGCCUUCGGGUUGUAAACCGCUUUCGCCUGUGACGAAGCGUGAGUGACGGUAAUGGGUAAAGAAGCACCGGCUAACUACGUG
RNAcentral lists this ribosomal RNA (468 nucleotides) under uncultured bacterium. RNAcentral describes it as "partial 16S ribosomal RNA". It matches the Rfam family "Bacterial small subunit ribosomal RNA", at positions 28 to 507 of the family's 1533-position model. The record is from RNAcentral.